Long non-coding RNA from Ipomoea nil (Japanese morning glory), 489 nucleotides. RefSeq lists it as uncharacterized. The record is from RefSeq and is a predicted model, not a curated record. NCBI's taxonomy places the organism in Eukaryota, Viridiplantae, Streptophyta, Magnoliopsida, Solanales, Convolvulaceae. The transcript has 3 exons.
AGGAUAAAGAAAAUUGUUUGGAAGAGACGAUUACUUGCCAAUCUACUACAAUUCGAAAUUGUUUGUAUGGUGUUUUUCAAGCAAAUUAUUGUACACCUAUAAACAUUUUAAACAAUAAUGGGAGUUUAGUCAAGUCAUCAAUAAAGAGUAAUAAUGAGAUUGCAUCAUCAAUUAAGAUGCAAUUGCAAGGUAUUUUUGACAAAACAACUCAUUCUCAAGACGCUCAUGAUACAGAAUAGAAGUUGGUGUGGAUCAGUCUGAAGUUGAGGAGUUUGCUAAUUGGAUUGCUUCUAUCGGUGAUGGAAAAAUUGGUGGUCCAAGUGAUGGCUAUGCAGAUGUUGAUAGUCCGUAUGAUUUGUUACUACAGUGUGACAGUGAUCCGAUCAAGACGAUUGUUGAUUGUAUAUUUCCAGGGUUUCUGAACGGUAGUUGUAAUCACAACUAUAUGCAAAGUCGUGCUGUACUAGCAUCAACGCUAGAUGUUGUCAA